GUCUAUGGCCAUGCCACCCUGAACGUGCCUGAUCUCGUCUGAUCUCGGAAGCUAAGCAGGAUCAGGCCUGGUUAGCACUUGGAUGGGAGACCACCUAGGAAGACCAGGUGCUGUAGGCG
Molecule: ribosomal RNA, 119 nt
Filed under: Pteropus alecto (black flying fox)
Lineage: Eukaryota; Metazoa; Chordata; Mammalia; Chiroptera; Pteropodidae
Also listed under: 1 other name
Source: RNAcentral